GAGUGAGAUGAGUGAUGGUAUUUAUAGUGAGCAACAAUACAUAAAAUAUGAAAGAUAGUGCUUGAGUUGGUAAAUGAGUGGAUGAUCAUAGUGCUUGAGUUUGGUAAAUAAGUGAAUGAUCAUUUCAAUGCUUAUCUUAUAACACUCCCCCUUGAUCAUUCAUCUUGUAUUACGUAAUACCUCGUUAAAAACCUAGUCAUGGAAAACUCAAUGGGAAAAACCGUAGUAAAAGUAAAAAGAGUACAACUACGUAAGCUCCCCCUCGAAUGAGUAAUCAUAGAACCUUUAGAACAAUG
Molecule: long non-coding RNA, 296 nt
Filed under: Brassica napus (rape)
Lineage: Eukaryota; Viridiplantae; Streptophyta; Magnoliopsida; Brassicales; Brassicaceae
Description: long non-coding RNA (BNAP_LNC023476)
Source: RNAcentral